RNAcentral lists this ribosomal RNA (402 nucleotides) under uncultured Phycisphaerae bacterium. Its description in RNAcentral is "bacterial SSU rRNA". It matches the Rfam family "Bacterial small subunit ribosomal RNA", at positions 9 to 419 of the family's 1533-position model. Lineage: Bacteria; Pseudomonadati; Planctomycetota; Phycisphaerae. The record is from RNAcentral.
GAGUUUGAUCUUGGCUCAGCCUGAACGCUGGCGGCGUGGCUAAGACAUGCAAGUCGCACGGGGUAGCGAAUACCCAGUGGCGAACGGGAGAGUAAUGAAUCGCUAACGUACCCCGGACUCUAGGGAUAGCCGCCCGAAAGGGCGGGUAAUACCAGUAUAAUACCACCUUGUCGCAUGGCAGGGUGUUCAAAGGUCCGCCGGUCUGGGAGCGGGCGAUUUCGUAUCAGCUAGUUGGUGGGGUAAAGGCUCACCAAGGCGACGACGCGUAGCCGGACUGAGAGGUUGGCCGGCCUCAUUGGGACUGAGACACUGCCCAGACUCCUACGGGGGGCUGCAGUAACGAAUCUUCCGCAAUGCACGAAAGUGUGACGGAGCGACGCCGCGUGUGGGACGAAGUCCUUC